Chinchilla lanigera (long-tailed chinchilla) is the source of this 2904-nucleotide long non-coding RNA. RefSeq lists it as uncharacterized. The transcript is spliced from 2 exons. Lineage: Eukaryota; Metazoa; Chordata; Mammalia; Rodentia; Chinchillidae. The record is from RefSeq and is a predicted model, not a curated record.
AGUCCACGCAGGCGCAGUGGCCACCGCUCGCCUAGGUUUCCGUGGCGGCGCGGCACAGCGCAUGCGUAUACUGCAGGGCGUACUGCCUGGUUACGGCGGCGCGGAGGCGAGGCGUGCAGGCGAGUUCCGGCUGGGCUGCUCCGCACCCGGAGCCAGGGGCUUUGUGAUCAGCUCCGUUCUGCCGCACCUCGGGGUCCCGGGCACAGCUGUGGGAAGCCCUCGUGCACGUGCCAGGCCGCACGACAGGCCCGUCUCUGAUCCUGCCAGCGCUGGCCCACGGUGCUGACUUCAACCUGGAUUCCUGCUUUGGCCUCGUUGGAGACCUCCAAGAGGAAUAAGGACCCAGCCCACGCGGAGCGGCGGCGUGCCUGCCUGCAAACCCCAGAACACAGGGCUGCGACCCCGAAAAGGAAAUAUGAUACAGAAAAUUGCAUAGGAAGUCCUACUAAAAACAGCCUCUGCUGGAGAAGAAGACAAUGUCUAUUGCAAAGUGUCACAUCACUUGAUAAGGACCGUCACAAGCAGCAGAUGCAGGGAAAAUCCAGGCUAUGAUGUAGCUGUAAGUGCAAGAAGAAAGUCGGUCACCAGAAAAGUGGCACUGAACUUCCACUGAGCCUUUGAUCAGGCUCUCCUCAGACUAGUUAAGGUGCUGCCAGGGGAAGAAGGGCUCCUGGCACCUAGAAGCCAGUUUUCAUCUGAUCUCAGGGUGCUGGAAGUUGGUAAAAAUCAGUUGUUCUGUUUGGACCUUUUCAGUUGCAAAUGACAAAGUCAACUUAGUCUGCCUUUGAAAAAGGAUAAGGGACAAUUAACAAAAGAGCACAAUGCAAAGGGGACCCCAGGGCUCAGACUUCUCAAGGGAGAGCUCAGGAGCUGCCUGACCUUCCUUCCUUUCUUCCACUCUCCCUCUUUUUCUCUCCUUCUCCCUCCCUUGGCUUUUCUUUGUCCAUCUCUUGGACAGAUACACCUCUCUGCUUCUGUCUGUGCGCUGGCCCGAUUCUCAUACCAUCUGGGGUCCACGACAUAGAGCCUGUGGGCCUCCCACCUCUGUCAGGCCUACCACCCCCAAAGGGUUUUCGUCCUGAGUGGUUAAAAACCUAAGUCGAAAGGAGAACAGUACUUCACGAUGUGUUAAAACACUGUGACAUUCACAUUUCUGUGUCCAGCUGGUUUUUCCAGACUAUAACCACUCCCGUGCAAUGGUUGCUUUUGCACUGCAAUGGUGGAGCUGAGUAGUUGUGACAAAGUGUGUGACACUCAUCACUUCUGUGGCCCACACUGUAAACCGCAGUGACACCAUCGUAAUACAAUCACAUGAUCUCUAACCACCACUGUCAUUGUGCCUCUGUGUCUUAUAUUUUAUCACCAGUAUGUCAAAAUAAGACAAAACUGGACUGCAAGGCUCAUGCAUGUAAGGCAGAGAAUAGUAUGAAUGAUUUUGUUGAUUAAGUGGCAAACCUUUGUGUGAAUUAUUCAACGGCUGUGCUAAACAAGUUCCACCUAGGUUAGGGGUAGGGUUAUUAGAGUCAACAAUCACAGCAGUGUUCCCCAUUCAUAGGAUAGUCACAGAAAAAUAGAAUAAUUGGAGUGGAAUGUCUCAUUACACAGAACUUCUUCAGAACAAAAAUGAGUAAGCCAUAAGUGCAACUUUUUUUCUUGCACUUACGGCUACUUCAUAACCUGUAUUUUCACUGCAUCUGCUGUUUGUGACCGUCCUUAUCAAUGAAAAGUAACUCUGCAAAUGGUUAAUUUGUUAGCCAAGAAAGGACAACUAUUUAUCAGUAGCAACUCAGAUCAUUUUUUAUUGCAGUAACCAAUAAACAUGUCUUGAGAUAACAAACUUACUUAAGACUUUUAGUCUUGUGGUGGCACUGGGUUCCCCACCAGGUUGGGGUCCUGGGGAUACAAUCAGGUUGACUUAAAAACAAGGCAAACGUGACUUUCCUUGGCCCUGGAAAAGUUGACUAGUGAUGCUGACACUGCUCAGCUAUUGGACAUUUGGGGAGUUGGUGGGGAGCUGGUAGUGACUAAGAGAUCAAUCCUGGUCAAUAAUUUGGGUGAAGGGCUAGGCUGAGAAUGUUUUCAAAGUGGUUGAAAACACAGUCAUGUGGCACAGCCUGAAGUGAAACAUGCGGCCAUCGGAUGGUGGUAGAAACACGUGUGAGGUCAGGAAACUGCUUAGUUGGACAAAUUUACAAGAUACAUUUCUGAAAGCACAAGGUGUUUAAAGCCCAUGGUUACUCAUUAUAUAUUCAUGAGUAGGUUCUUGGUGGAUAAUAUUUGAAAAUAUUACUUGUGAUGAAUUACCUAAAUUAGUAGAAAAACUCAUCCCAUCUACUGGACUUAACCCAUGGAUUUUUGACAGAAGAACCCAAAUAUUAGAGGAACUCGGAAAAUAUGCACUGAAGACUGACACUUUGUGGCACCUGACAAGAGGGCUUUGACCCUUCCUCAGAGUGCGGGAUGCUUGGGCUUUCUCUCAUUCCCCUUCCUCAUGCAAAGAGGCUGUUGCAGAGGUCCCAUAUCUGCCCAAUGUCUGGACCCACCAAAGGAAAAGCAGUGGCCCGAGUGUCACUAACUGAACUCAUUUAUGAGAGGGAAGGCUGUCCGCACAGCUGGACUCACAUGUGCAAAUAUCCUUGUCCUCUUCUUCAGUCCCACAGAGGUUAUUAACAAAUCAUCGCCUGUUCCGUCAGCCAAACAGGCUUUGUCAAGCUGUCGUAUGUUCCAGGCCCCCUGACCUGCCCUCAAAUUCACUGUUUCCCUGAUGUUUCCUGUUCUCCCCCUUCCCUGUGGAAAAUGGAGUAGAUAAGCUUCCGAAUCAUGUUGAGCUGUGGGUGAUUAUACUUCUGUGAUCUUUUCCUCUUUUGCAUAUUAAUAAAGUGACGUAGCUUUUCUUCUAUUUAA